CCGAGAGACUUCAUGGCUUUAUACUAUGUCUUCUUUGCAUCUGGUUGUUGGAACAUGUCCCUGUCUCGGUUUGGUAUUACUUUAAUUCUGCACUGUCAUCUUGGACAUUUUCCCUACUUGUCAUUCAAGGGGUUGAACCAGCUGGUAGGGGAAUGUUUUUCUGAGAAUUACGGGAUCUAAAUUUUAGUUAACCAUACAUAAAGCUAGUUUUGAGUCUUACAACGAUGCAAAAUUAUAGUUGCUUCUUGCUAUUGCUUAAGAGGAUCCUUAGUGUGGUUGUGAACUACAGAGUUUCUAUGGAGUUUAGACUCCAUAACUCAGAUUUAAGGUUUAAUGUUCUCUUAGCUAUGUCAACAAAGAGUAUUUGCGGUUCAACUAUUUGAGUUACACAGACUGAUUAAGAAUGCAAUAGUUAGCUAUUGUUGAUGGUUUUGCGGAGAUAAACGAGACCUUAGCCGAGAUGAUAAAAUAUAUUGCAAACAAACCUGCUUUACUACAUCCAACAUCACGUCCAACAUGCAGCACCAAAUGUUUUUAAUCUCAACAAUGUUUUGGAGAAGUCCUGUGAAGCAUGCUUGCAUACCGAAGACUUAGAAGAUUUUAUAGCCAUGAUGAAAUCAAUAAAAGAGUGUGGUCCACCUAUCAUGUAUAUUUGUUGUUAGACAUCUAUGAUGGUUGUAAAAUAUUUUUAUAUUGUUUUGGUACUUUUCUGAUGUUUCUGCACUAUAAGAAUGUCAAAGGUUUCUAUUAGAGACAAGUUAAUAGUUUUUGAGGUAA
Molecule: non-coding RNA, 777 nt
Organism: Camelina sativa (false flax)
Lineage: Eukaryota; Viridiplantae; Streptophyta; Magnoliopsida; Brassicales; Brassicaceae
Source: RefSeq, a predicted model, not a curated record